AGACCCGAAACCCGGUGAUCUAGCCAUGGGCAGGUUGAAGGUUGGGUAACACUAACUGGAGGACCGAACCGACUAAUGUUGAAAAAUUAGCGGAUGACCUGUGGCUGGGGGUGAAAGGCCAAUCAAACCGGGAGAUAGCUGGUUCUCCCCGAAAGCUAUUUAGGUAGCGCCUCGUGAAUUCAUCUCCGGGGGUAGAGCACUGUUUCGGCUAGGGGGCCAUCCCGGCUUACCAACCCGAUGCAAACUGCGAAUACCGGAGAAUGUUAUCACGGGAGACACACGGCGGGUGCUAACGUCCGUCGUGAAGAGGGAAACAACCCAGACCGCCAGCUAAGGUCCCAAAGUCAUGGUUAAGUGGGAAACGAUGUGGGAAGGCCCAGACAGCCAGGAUGUUGGCUUAGAAGCAGCCAUCAUUUAAAGAAAGCGUAAUAGCUCACUGGUCGAGUCGGCCUGCGCGGAAGAUGUAACGGGGCUAAACCAUGCACCGAAGCUGCGGCAGCGAACGUAUCACCCAAGACAACUUUACGGAGUUGACGAUUGACGGAGCGAAGCGACGUCAAAGCGUUCAUUAAAGUCGAGUUGGCUUAGGGAUACGUUCGUUGGGUAGGGGAGCGUUCUGUAAGCCUGUGAAGGUGUGUCGUGAGGCAUGCUGGAGGUAUCAGAAGUGCGAAUGCUGACAUAAGUAACGAUAAAGCGGGUGAAAAGCCCGCUCGCCGGAAGACCAAGGGUUCCUGUCCAACGUUAAUCGGGGCAGGGUGAGUCGACCCCUAAGGCGAGGCCGAAAGGCGUAGUCGAUGGGAAACGGGUUAAUAUUCCCGUACUUGGUGUUACUGCGAAGGGGGGACGGAGAAGGCUAUGUUGGCCGGGCGACGGUUGUCCCGGUUUAAGCGUGUAGGUGUGUGUUCCAGGUAAAUCCGGUUCACUUUAACACUGAGGCGUGACGACGAGGCACUACGGUGCUGAAGCAACAAAUGCCCUGCUUCCAGGAAAAGCCUC
RNAcentral lists this ribosomal RNA (996 nucleotides) under Salmonella enterica. RNAcentral describes it as "partial 23S ribosomal RNA". It matches the Rfam family "Bacterial large subunit ribosomal RNA", at positions 711 to 1621 of the family's 2925-position model. Lineage: Bacteria; Pseudomonadati; Pseudomonadota; Gammaproteobacteria; Enterobacterales; Enterobacteriaceae. RNAcentral also lists the same sequence under 1 other name. The record is from RNAcentral.